GCGCCUGUAGCUCAGCUGGAUAGAGCAACGGACUUCUAAUCCGUAGGCCGGGGGUCCGAAUCCCUCCAGGCGCGCCA
RNAcentral lists this transfer RNA (77 nucleotides) under Desulfobacteraceae bacterium. Its description in RNAcentral is "tRNA-Arg". It matches the Rfam family "tRNA". Rfam says of the family: Transfer RNA (tRNA) molecules are approximately 80 nucleotides in length. Their secondary structure includes four short double-helical elements and three loops (D, anti-codon, and T loops). The record is from RNAcentral. Lineage: Bacteria; Pseudomonadati; Thermodesulfobacteriota; Desulfobacteria; Desulfobacterales; Desulfobacteraceae.